GCGUUCAUUAAGCCUGUAUAGAUAAAAACCAACUCAUUACUGACGCUAUUGUAGCUCUUUUGAAGGUCUAAACGCAUUACAAAAAGCAACAAUUAAUCAUCUCGAUGAAGCCUCUGGUUAGUCCUGGAUUAGCUAAGGCUUGUACUGGUCUAUCGCUUAUUGGAAUAGUAUUUCUGUUGGUACUGUCUUAUCUGUUUUCCAUAGAAGCAGAAACAUUGAUGCAUGAUUUGGUUGGAAGUGGCCUUACUGGAAAACAAGUUGCUAAAACCUGCCUUGGUGCUGUGGUUAUCUAUGCUGUUUUCUUCUUGUUCUGUGGAUCUCAAGUUAUAGUCUCACGCUACCAAAAACCAGUUCGUAUCUAAUAUUUCUUAAUUACGUACAUGAACAGCGGUUUUCAUUGUUAAAUUUUAGAAUCUAAAUAGUAUGUAUUCUUUUUACCUUCAGAAUCCCUUCUUUCUUCCUAAAUGCUGAGGACCGCGACAAAAUAGCUUUAGUUACAAAGUCAGCAGACAUUUUGCUAAGUUAAAUAAUAAUUUUUUUUCUGCUUACAUU
This 552-nucleotide unclassified non-coding RNA is filed under the name Schizosaccharomyces pombe (fission yeast). Lineage: Eukaryota; Fungi; Ascomycota; Schizosaccharomycetes; Schizosaccharomycetales; Schizosaccharomycetaceae. The record is from RNAcentral.